Molecule: ribosomal RNA, 253 nt
Filed under: uncultured bacterium
Lineage: Bacteria
Description: partial 16S ribosomal RNA
Rfam family: Bacterial small subunit ribosomal RNA
Source: RNAcentral
UACAGAGACUGCAAGCGUUAUUCGGAUUCACUGGGCGUAAAGGGUGCGUAGGCGGCGCGGUAAGUCGGGUGUGAAAUCUCGGAGCUUAACUCCGAAACUGCAUUCGAUACUGCCGUGCUUGAGGACUGGAGAGGAGACUGGAAUUUACGGUGUAGCGGUGAAAUGCGUAGAUAUCGUAAGGAAGACCAGUGGCGAAGGCGGGUCUCUGGACAGUUCCUGACGCUGAGGCACGAAGGUCAGGGGAGCAAACGGG